Molecule: ribosomal RNA, 647 nt
Filed under: fungal endophyte
Lineage: Eukaryota; Fungi
Description: eukaryotic LSU rRNA
Rfam family: 5.8S ribosomal RNA (bases 180-333)
Source: RNAcentral
UUAAAGAGUUCUAUAACUCCCAAACCCAUGUGAACAUACCUAACGUUGCCUCGGCAGGUCGCACCUACCUUGUAGCACCCUACCCUGUAGGGCCUACCCGGGAGGUGCGGGUAAGCCUGCCGGCGGCCCACCAAACUCUGUUUGAUAUUGAAUUCUGAACCUAUAACUAAAUAAGUUAAAACUUUCAACAACGGAUCUCUUGGUUCUGGCAUCGAUGAAGAACGCAGCGAAAUGCGAUAAGUAAUGUGAAUUGCAGAAUUCAGUGAAUCAUCGAAUCUUUGAACGCAUAUUGCGCCCAUUAGUAUUCUAGUGGGCAGGACCGUUCGAGCGUCAUUUCAACCCUUAAGCCUUCGUUGCUUAGUGUUGGGAGCCUACGGCAACGUAGCUCCUCAAAGUUAGUGGCGGAGUUGGUUCACACUCUAGACGUAGUAAUUUUUUAUCUCGCCUAUUAGUUGGACUAAUCCCCUGCCGUAAAACCCCCAAUUUAUCAAGGUUGACCUCGAAUCGGUUCAGACAAACUCGCUAAAUUGAAGCAUCUUAGUCAGCGAAGGAAAAGAAACCAACAGGGAUUGCCCUAGUAACGGCGAGUGAAGCGGCAACAGCUCAAAUUUGAAAUCUGGCCCUCGGGUCCGAGUUGUAAUUUGUAG